UGUUCUUUAAAUGGGGACUAGUAUGAAUGGCAUCACGAGGGUUAAACUGUCUCCUUUUUCUAAUCAGUGAAACUAAUCUCCCCGUGAAGAAGCGAGGAUAACUUUAUAAGACGAGAAGACCCUAUGGAGCUUAAAACAAAUUUACACCUGCNUUUAUUACAUCCACCUUCCCGAACACUCACACAAACUAUAGCAUGCUUGAUAAAUAGUUUUCGAUUGGGGUGAUCAUGGAGAAAAAAACAACCUCCACGACGNANCAAGGGAANNNCCNUUCCUGAGCUAAAAGCCACAACUUUAAGCACUNAAAAAAUUAACGCACUUUGACCCAANUUACUUGAGCAACGAACCAAGUUACCCUAGGGAUAACAGCGCAAUCCACUUCAAGAGCUCCUAUCGACAAGUGGGCUUACGACCUCGAUGUUGGAUCA
This 428-nucleotide ribosomal RNA is filed under the name Boana alfaroi (Alfaro's treefrog). RNAcentral describes it as "partial large subunit ribosomal RNA". It matches the Rfam family "Bacterial large subunit ribosomal RNA", at positions 1970 to 2539 of the family's 2925-position model. Lineage: Eukaryota; Metazoa; Chordata; Amphibia; Anura; Hylidae. The record is from RNAcentral.